CACCUUCGUAGCAAGUAGCAAGAAUUUUCCAAGAAACAAAAUAUAAAUAGCUAAUCCAUGACACCAUAUUACCAAUAUCUAAAAGUACAUUUUCGAUAAAACGGUAUACUAUCUUCAAUCAAGGUAUCUGUUAUUUACUGCGUUAAGGGAAAAGACACGCACACACCCACUCAGAGAACGAUCAUGGCGGAUGUACUCAAUUUUAAGGAAAAGAGAUGGUCCCUCAAGGGAAUGACAGCUCUGGUUACUGAAGGCUCCAGAGGCAUUGGGCAUGCUAUAGUAGAAGAAUUAGCAGGAUUUGAGGUUGCAGUGCACACAUGUUCACGCAACCAAACGGAGCUUGAUCAGUGUUUGCAAGAAUGGAAAAACAAAGGUUUCAAAGUAACUGGGUCUGUAUGCGACGUGUCUCAUCGAGACCAAAGGGAAAAACUCAUGGAAACUGUCUCCUCCAUCUUUCAUGGAAAGCUCAACAUUCUUGUAAGCUUAAGUAAAUCUACCUUUAAAUCUUAUAGAAAUUAAAGAGUCUAGAAUUUAUCAAUGGAAGAACAUAAAGUACCAGAAGCUUUUAUUUUCAUUUUUUCUUAAAUUGCUUUUGAUUCUUAAACUUGAGAGAGAGUUUAAAAGCUAGAAUUCUGGUUUUAUAGGUGAAUAACGCUGCAAAAGGGAUGCCCAAAGCUGCUGUAGAGUAUACUGCUGAAGACAUCUCCAGGAUAAUGAGCACCAAUUUUGAGUCAGUUUUUCAUUUUUGUCAACUUUCAUAUCCUCUCUUUAAGGCAUCUGGAUAUGGAAGGAUUGUAAAUAUUUCCUCCAAUUCCAGCGUGGUGGCUCUCCCUUCUAUCUCUGCCUAUGAAGCCUCUAAAGGUGCAGUAAAUCAAAUCACAAAGAACUUGGCAUGUGAGUGGGCUAAGGACAACAUUCUCGUUAAUGCAAUUUCUCCAGGGCUAAUCAGAACUUCUCUCAUUGAAUCUGGAAAGCAGGAUUAUCCUGAAAUUGCAAAAUUUUUUAAUAGAUAUAUAAGUCAAACUCCAAUUUCUCGGAUUGGAGAGCCCUACGAGAUUGCAUCAAUGGUGGCAUUCCUUUGCUUUCCUACUGCUUCAUUUAUCACCGGUCAGGUCAUUGUUGUUGAUGGAGGAUUCACCAUCAAUGGUUUCUGCCAGCCAAACAAUAACUAAACCUCUAUUUUCUAAUCAAGAUCUACCUAUAAAGAUAUAUAAAUAAGGUUUAAGGUCCAUGAGAAACCAAGAUUAUUUACAAAUGUCUUCAUUUUGCUGUCGCUGUUGUUGAUUUCUUUGUUGUAAUAAACAAAAG
This 1308-nucleotide unclassified non-coding RNA is filed under the name Hevea brasiliensis (rubber tree). Lineage: Eukaryota; Viridiplantae; Streptophyta; Magnoliopsida; Malpighiales; Euphorbiaceae. The record is from RNAcentral.